ACGCUCGACACCUACGGGAGGCAGCAGUGGGGGAUAUUGCGCAAUGGGGGAAACCCUGACGCAGCAACGCCGCGUGAAGGACGAAGGUUUUCGGAUUGUAAACUUCUUUUGUCAGGGACGAAGAAAUGACGGUACCUGACGAAUAAGCUCCGGCUAACUACGUGCCAGGAGCAGCGGUAAUCUGAGGCGGGCUGGCAAGGC
This 201-nucleotide ribosomal RNA is filed under the name uncultured bacterium. RNAcentral's name for it is "partial 16S ribosomal RNA". It matches the Rfam family "Bacterial small subunit ribosomal RNA", at positions 328 to 539 of the family's 1533-position model. The record is from RNAcentral.